GGCCCGCCCUCCGCAGGAGGGACCUGGGCGCCGGGAGCGCGAGGGAGGCCGCGCUGACUAGUACAAGUCGGUGCAGCGCCGGCCUCACCUGGCCGCGAGUUUGAUUUCAGGGUGUGGCUCCAGAUGCUCCAGCUGCCUCCUUCCAGGCCCUGGAGGUGCUGCGGGCCCACCCACACCCCCUUGGAGAGCCCCGGCUGGAGUCCUGCCACCUUGGCCUGUCCGUCUGGCUGGACGAGGCCCUAAGACGGUCUUGGGCAGGAAAGCUGGAAUGAACGAGAUUCCAGUUUCCUUGUCAGACCCUGCUCAGUUCCGAGAACCCUCUGGUUUCAGGGAAGUGAGAAGACCCUUGCUGUCCUAGACUCUGCCCCCAGGAAGGCCUGUGUCCAAUUGGGUGUUGAGAGGAUUCUGGCUCAGAGAUUCAGCACAUCUGCACUCCAAAUGGCCCCCAGGCAGAGGCUGGGUGGCUGCAGUCCCAGCAAGCGGACCCAGGACUGCAGAGAUUUCUGUCACUGUUGGGCACUUCAAACUUCAGUUGUUAACUGAGGUCACUACUGUUAUGUGUCAUUUUUGUUCAUUGAUCCUUUAGAUAUAUCAAUGCAAUUUAUGGAUACCGCGUUUGCAUAUGGGCUCUAUUGCUUAUGCACAGUUUACUCUAGACUCCUGCCAAACACAGCUAAGGUGGUGAGUGGGAAUUCGCCCGCCCCAAACAGGCCUGCACCCUGUCUGGCUGCACCACAAGCCCCAGUGCCCUCAGCCUCUGUGGGGAAGCGUGGCGGUGCCCGCUGGAGAUGUUGGCCUGUGAGCGGGAGCCUGGUGUGGAAGCUGGGGCAGCUGCAGGCAGGUCUCUGCUCCUCU
Myotis daubentonii (Daubenton's bat) is the source of this 855-nucleotide long non-coding RNA. RefSeq lists it as uncharacterized. Lineage: Eukaryota; Metazoa; Chordata; Mammalia; Chiroptera; Vespertilionidae. The record is from RefSeq and is a predicted model, not a curated record.